RNAcentral lists this ribosomal RNA (1394 nucleotides) under Escherichia coli. RNAcentral describes it as "partial 23S ribosomal RNA". It matches the Rfam family "Bacterial large subunit ribosomal RNA", at positions 129 to 1569 of the family's 2925-position model. Lineage: Bacteria; Pseudomonadati; Pseudomonadota; Gammaproteobacteria; Enterobacterales; Enterobacteriaceae. The record is from RNAcentral.
CAGUGUGUUUCGACACACUAUCAUUAACUGAAUCCAUAGGUUAAUGAGGCGAACCGGGGGAACUGAAACAUCUAAGUACCCCGAGGAAAAGAAAUCAACCGAGAUUCCCCCAGUAGCGGCGAGCGAACGGGGAGGAGCCCAGAGCCUGAAUCAGUGUGUGUGUUAGUGGAAGCGUCUGGAAAGGCGUGCGAUACAGGGUGACAGCCCCGUACACAAAAAUGCACAUAUUGUGAGCUCGAUGAGUAGGGCGGGACACGUGGUAUCCUGUCUGAAUAUGGGGGGACCAUCCUCCAAGGCUAAAUACUCCUGACUGACCGAUAGUGAACCAGUACCGUGAGGGAAAGGCGAAAAGAACCCCGGCGAGGGGAGUGAAAAAGAACCUGAAACCGUGUACGUACAAGCAGUGGGAGCCUCUUAAUGGGGUGACUGCGUACCUUUUGUAUAAUGGGUCAGCGACUUAUAUUCUGUAGCAAGGUUAACCGAAUAGGGGAGCCGAAGGGAAACCGAGUCUUAACUGGGCGUUAAGUUGCAGGGUAUAGACCCGAAACCCGGUGAUCUAGCCAUGGGCAGGUUGAAGGUUGGGUAACACUAACUGGAGGACCGAACCGACUAAUGUUGAAAAAUUAGCGGAUGACUUGUGGCUGGGGGUGAAAGGCCAAUCAAACCGGGAGAUAGCUGGUUCUCCCCGAAAGCUAUUUAGGUAGCGCCUCGUGAAUUCAUCUCCGGGGGUAGAGCACUGUUUCGGCAAGGGGGUCAUCCCGACUUACCAACCCGAUGCAAACUGCGAAUACCGGAGAAUGUUAUCACGGGAGACACACGGCGGGUGCUAACGUCCGUCGUGAAGAGGGAAACAACCCAGACCGCCAGCUAAGGUCCCAAAGUCAUGGUUAAGUGGGAAACGAUGUGGGAAGGCCCAGACAGCCAGGAUGUUGGCUUAGAAGCAGCCAUCAUUUAAAGAAAGCGUAAUAGCUCACUGGUCGAGUCGGCCUGCGCGGAAGAUGUAACGGGGCUAAACCAUGCACCGAAGCUGCGGCAGCGACACUAUGUGUUGUUGGGUAGGGGAGCGUUCUGUAAGCCUGUGAAGGUGGCCUGUGAGGGUUGCUGGAGGUAUCAGAAGUGCGAAUGCUGACAUAAGUAACGAUAAAGCGGGUGAAAAGCCCGCUCGCCGGAAGACCAAGGGUUCCUGUCCAACGUUAAUCGGGGCAGGGUGAGUCGACCCCUAAGGCGAGGCCGAAAGGCGUAGUCGAUGGGAAACAGGUUAAUAUUCCUGUACUUGGUGUUACUGCGAAGGGGGGACGGAGAAGGCUAUGUUGGCCGGGCGACGGUUGUCCCGGUUUAAGCGUGUAGGCUGGUUUUCCAGGCAAAUCCGGAAAACCAAGGCUGAGGCGUGAUGA